GACGAACCGUACGAACGUUAUUCGGAAUUACUGGGCGUAAAGCGUGCGCAGGCGGUUAUGCAAGACAGAUGUGAAAUCCCCGGGCUCAACCUGGGAACUGCAUUUGUGACUGCAUAGCUAGAGUACGGUAGAGGGGGAUGGAAUUCCGCGUGUAGCAGUGAAAUGCGUAGAGAUGUGGAGGAACACCGAUGGCGAAGGCAGCCCCCUGGGGUUAACACUGACGCUCAUGCACGAAAGCGUGGGGAGCAAACAGG
Molecule: ribosomal RNA, 254 nt
Filed under: uncultured bacterium
Lineage: Bacteria
Description: partial 16S ribosomal RNA
Rfam family: Bacterial small subunit ribosomal RNA
Source: RNAcentral